CCUACGGGGGGCAGCAGUGAGGAAUAUUGGUCAAUGGUCGGGAGACUGAACCAGCCAAGCCGCGUGAGGGAGGCAGGUACAGAGUAUCGUAAACCUCUUUUGUCAGGGAACAAAGGCGGGGACGUGUCCCCGGAUGAGUGUACCUGAAGAAAAAGCGUCGGCUACCUCCGUGCCAGCAGCCGCGGUAAUACGGAGGAUGCGAGCGUUAUCCGGUUUUAUGGGGUUCAAAGGGUGCGCAGGCGGUCUGUUAAGUCAGCGGUCAAAGCCCGGGGCUCAACCCCGGCCCGCCGUUGAAACUGGCAGUCUCGAGUUGGAGAGAAGUAUGCGGAAUGCGCGGUGUAGCGGUGAAAUGCAUAGAUAUCGCGCAGAACUCCGAUUGCGAAGGCAGCAUGCCGGCUCCACACUGACGCUGAGGCACGAAAGCGUGGGUAUCGAACAGGAUUAGAUACCCUUGUAGUC
This 459-nucleotide ribosomal RNA is filed under the name uncultured bacterium. Its description in RNAcentral is "partial 16S ribosomal RNA". It matches the Rfam family "Bacterial small subunit ribosomal RNA", at positions 338 to 795 of the family's 1533-position model. The record is from RNAcentral.